This 446-nucleotide ribosomal RNA is filed under the name uncultured bacterium. RNAcentral's name for it is "partial 16S ribosomal RNA". It matches the Rfam family "Bacterial small subunit ribosomal RNA", at positions 338 to 795 of the family's 1533-position model. The record is from RNAcentral.
CCUACGGGUGGCAGCAGUCGAGAAUCAUUCACAAUGGGGGAAACCCUGAUGGUGCGACGCCGCGUGGGGGAAUGAAGGUCUUCGGAUUGUAAACCCCUGUCAUGUGGGAGCAAAUUAAAAAGAUAGUACCACAAGAGGAAGAGACGGCUAACUCUGUGCCAGCAGCCGCGGUAAUACAGAGGUCUCAAGCGUUGUUCGGAAUCACUGGGCGUAAAGGGUGCGUAGGCUAUUUCGUAAGUCGUGUGUGAAAGGCGCGGGCUCAACCCGCGGACGGCACAUGAUACUGCGAGACUAGAGUAAUGGAGGGGGAACCGGAAUUCUCGGUGUAGCAGUGAAAUGCGUAGAUAUCGAGAGGAACACUCGUGGCGAAGGCGGGUUCCUGGACAUUAACUGACGCUGAGGCACGAAGGCCAGGGGAGCGAAAGGGAUUAGAUACCCCAGUAGUC